CCCUUAGAUGUCCGGGGCUGCACGCGCGCUACACUGAAGGAAUCAGCGUGCUAAAACCAUUGUCGAAAGGCAUUGGUAAACCCAUUAAAAUCCUACGUGAUUGGGAUCGGGAAUUGCAAUUAUUUCCCUUGAACGUGGAAUUCCCAGUAAGUGUGGGUCAUAAGCUCGCGUUGAUUACGUCCCUGCCCUUUGUACACACCGCCCGUCGCUGCCCGGGACUGAGCCGUUUCGAGAAAAGCGGGGACUGCUGCUGUCGGGGCUUUCGGGCCUUGGCUUCGGUGGAAACCGCUUUAAUCGCAGUGGCUUGAACCGGGCAAAAGUCGUAACA
Molecule: ribosomal RNA, 328 nt
Filed under: uncultured eukaryote
Lineage: Eukaryota
Description: partial 18S ribosomal RNA
Rfam family: Eukaryotic small subunit ribosomal RNA
Source: RNAcentral